Molecule: ribosomal RNA, 468 nt
Filed under: uncultured bacterium
Lineage: Bacteria
Description: partial 16S ribosomal RNA
Rfam family: Bacterial small subunit ribosomal RNA
Source: RNAcentral
GACGAACGCUGGCGGCGUGCUUAACACAUGCAAGUCGAACGGACAGGCCCUGCUUUUGUGGGGUUCUCGAGUGGCGAACGGGUGAGUAACACGUGAGUAACCUCCCCUUAACUUUGGGAUAACUUCUGGAAACUGGGGCUAUUACCCGAUAUGAGCUCCUGCUGCAUGGUGGGGGUUGGAAAGUUCCGGCGGUUGGGGAUGGUCUCGCGGCUUAUCAGCUUCUUUGUGGGGUAGUUGCUUACCAAGGCUUAGACGGGUAGCCGGCAUGAGAGGGGUACCGGGCACAUGGGGACUGAGAGACGGACCAGACUGCUACGGGAGGCAGCGGUGGGGAGUAUUACACAAUGGGCGGAAGCGAGAUGCGGAAACGCCGCGUGCGGGAUAACGGCUUUCGGGGUGGAAACAGAUUUCGCAGGUGACGAAGCGUGAGUGACGGUAAUGGGUAAAGAAGCACCGGCUAACUACGUG